Molecule: ribosomal RNA, 253 nt
Filed under: uncultured bacterium
Lineage: Bacteria
Description: partial 16S ribosomal RNA
Rfam family: Bacterial small subunit ribosomal RNA
Source: RNAcentral
UACAGAGGUCUCAAGCGUUGUUCGGAUUCAUUGGGCGUAAAGGGUGUGUAGGUGGCGCCGUAAGUCGGGUGUGAAAUUUCGGAGCUUAACUCCGAAACUGCAUUCGAUACUGCCGUGCUUGAGGACUGGAGAGGAGACUGGAAUUUACGGUGUAGCGGUGAAAUGCGUAGAUAUCGUAAGGAAGACCAGUGGCGAAGGCGGGUCUCUGGACAGUUCCUGACGCUGAAGCACGAAGGCCAGGGGAGCAAACGGG